GCUUAGGCCACACCGUGGUUUCACGCCCGAUCUCGUUUGAUCUCGGAAGCUAAGAUAGGGGUUGGGCCUGGUUAGUACUUGGAUGGGAGACCGCCUGGGAAUACCAGGUGCUGUAAGCU
This 119-nucleotide ribosomal RNA is filed under the name Scophthalmus maximus (turbot). The record is from RNAcentral. Lineage: Eukaryota; Metazoa; Chordata; Actinopteri; Pleuronectiformes; Scophthalmidae.